This 70-nucleotide transfer RNA is filed under the name Dipodomys ordii (Ord's kangaroo rat). It matches the Rfam family "tRNA". Rfam says of the family: Transfer RNA (tRNA) molecules are approximately 80 nucleotides in length. Their secondary structure includes four short double-helical elements and three loops (D, anti-codon, and T loops). Further hydrogen bonds mediate the characteristic L-shaped molecular structure. tRNAs have two regions of fundamental functional importance: the anti-codon, which is responsible for specific mRNA codon recognition, and the 3' end, to which the tRNAs corresponding amino acid is attached (by aminoacyl-tRNA synthetases). tRNAs cope with the degeneracy of the genetic code in two manners: having more than one tRNA (with a specific anti-codon) for a particular amino acid; and 'wobble' base-pairing, i.e. permitting non-standard base-pairing at the 3rd anti-codon position. The record is from Rfam by way of RNAcentral. Lineage: Eukaryota; Metazoa; Chordata; Mammalia; Rodentia; Heteromyidae.
GGGAAUGUGGCUUAGUGGUAGAGUGCUUGGCUAGCAUGCAUGAAGCCCAGGGUUCAAUUCCUCAGUACCA